GACGAACGCUGGCGGCGUGCUUAACACAUGCAAGUCUACGAGAAUUAAGUAGCAAUACUUUUAGUAAAGUGGCGCACGGGUGCGUAACACGUAAGCAAUCUACCCUUAGAUAUAGAAUAACACCGAGAAAUCGGUGCUAAUACUGUAUGAUGCAGCGGCACCGCAUGGUGAUGUUGUUAAAGCUCUUGAAGCGUCUAAGGAUGAGCUUGCGUCUGAUUAGCUAGUUGGUAGGGUAAUGGCCUACCAAGGCAACGAUCAGUAGCUGGUCUGAGAGGAUGAUCAGCCACACUGGAACUGAGACACGGUCCAGACUCCUACGGGUGGCAG
RNAcentral lists this ribosomal RNA (327 nucleotides) under uncultured Chlorobiota bacterium. RNAcentral's name for it is "bacterial SSU rRNA". It matches the Rfam family "Bacterial small subunit ribosomal RNA", at positions 28 to 351 of the family's 1533-position model. Lineage: Bacteria; Pseudomonadati; Chlorobiota. The record is from RNAcentral.